RNAcentral lists this ribosomal RNA (390 nucleotides) under uncultured bacterium. Its description in RNAcentral is "bacterial SSU rRNA". It matches the Rfam family "Bacterial small subunit ribosomal RNA", at positions 368 to 775 of the family's 1533-position model. The record is from RNAcentral.
ACAAUGGAGGAAACUCUGAUGUAGCAACGCCGCGUGGAGGAUGACACAUUUCGGUGCGUAAACUCCUUUUAUAUGGGAAGAUAAUGACGGUACCAUAUGAAUAAGCACCGGCUAACUCCGUGCCAGCAGACGCGGUAAUACGGAGGGUGCAAGCGUUCCUCGGAAUCACUGGGCGUAAAGCGCGCGCAGGCGGUCUUUUAAGUUGGAGGUGAAAUCCUAUGGCUCAACCAUAGAACUGCAUCCAAAACUGAAAGACUAGAGUCUGGGAGGGGAAGAUGGAAUUAGUGGUGUAGGGGUAACAUCCGUAGAGAUCACUAGGAAUACCAAAAGCGAAGGCGAUCUUCUGGAACAGUACUGACGCUGAGGCGCGAAGGCGUGGGGAGCAAGCAG